ACGCUCGACACCUACGGGCGGCAGCAGUGGGGAAUAUUGCACAAUGGGGGAAACCCUGAUGCAGCAACGCCGCGUGAGUGAAGAAGUAUUUCGGUAUGUAAAGCUCUAUCAGCAGGGAAGAUAAUGACGGUACCUGACUAAGAAGCUCCGGCUAAAUACGUGCCAGUAGCCGCGGUAAUCUGAGCGGGCUGGCAAGGC
This 198-nucleotide ribosomal RNA is filed under the name uncultured bacterium. RNAcentral describes it as "partial 16S ribosomal RNA". It matches the Rfam family "Bacterial small subunit ribosomal RNA", at positions 328 to 539 of the family's 1533-position model. The record is from RNAcentral.